RNAcentral lists this ribosomal RNA (446 nucleotides) under uncultured bacterium. Its description in RNAcentral is "partial 16S ribosomal RNA". It matches the Rfam family "Bacterial small subunit ribosomal RNA", at positions 338 to 795 of the family's 1533-position model. The record is from RNAcentral.
CCUACGGGAGGCAGCAGUGGGGAAUAUUGCACAAUGGGGGCAACCCUGAUGGUGCGACGCCGCGUGGGGGAAUGAAGGUCUUCGGAUUGUAAACCCCUGUCAUGUGGGAGCAAAUUAAAAAGAUAGUACCGCAAGAGGAAGAGACGGCUAACUGUGUGCCAGCAGCCGCGGUAAUACAGAGGUCUCAAGCGUUGUUCGGAAGCACUGGGCGGAAGGCGUGCGUAGGCUGUUUCGUAAGUCGUGUGUGAAAGGCGCGGGCUCAACCCGCGGAUGGCACAUGAUACUGCGAGACUAGAGUAAUGGAGGGGGAACCGGAAUUCGCGGUGUAGCAGUGAAAUGCGUAGAUAUCGAGAGGAACACUCGUGGCGAAGGCGGGUUCCUGGACAUUAACUGACGCUGAGGCACGAAGGCCAGGGGAGCGAAAGGGAUUAGAUACCCCAGUAGUC